Molecule: long non-coding RNA, 617 nt
Organism: Triticum dicoccoides
Lineage: Eukaryota; Viridiplantae; Streptophyta; Magnoliopsida; Poales; Poaceae
Exons: 3
Source: RefSeq, a predicted model, not a curated record
GGUCGCUGGCGACCCACCCGCUCAGGUUCAGGUUGACCUCUCCCAUGCUAUUGAUUGAUUCGAUUGUUCCUUGCCAUGCUACUCCUCCGGCGCGAGCAACCAAAACCUUGUCCAUGUAAAUUUUGUUAGGCAUUCCAGUUGGUGCUGGGAGUUUUGGUUCUGCUGUUCUGAAUUUUCGGCCUGCAGCUCGUUUCCCAGAGGUUUCGAGGGGUUCAGCCCUGAAUCUGCUCCUGUGGUGAGAGAUGAAGCUGGUGCCGAGGGAGGUUUUUUGUUUUCGUCACUCCUUUGUUAUAUGGAAGAAGACUUCAUGGGAAAACAAUGGAGGGAGUUCCAGCCAGUGGCAGAGAGAGAAGAGAAUUUUACUGGACUAUCAAUACUUCUUCAUUGGUUCAACAGGGAGGUACUUGCUCCUAUAUAAGUAUGGAGGCUGUCAUGAUGCAGGCUAUUUCACCCUGGACCUCCAGAGAUUCCAGUUUGAGGGAGUGAACAUUUCAACACGGUGUCGAUUGUACUCACGCAUAUAGCAACUUCCCACCAUCGUUGUUAUCUACGGCGACGGUAUCAAGUGGCAAACUUUCAGUUGCGUCCUAGUUAUCUCCCAGCUUUCAUAAUUAUCA